UACGUAGGGCGCAAGCGUUGUCCGGAAUUAUUGGGCGUAAAGAGCUCGUAGGCGGCUUGUCACGUCGGGUGUGAAAGCCCGGGGCUUAACCCCGGGUCUGCAUUCGAUACGGGCUAGCUAGAGUGUGGUAGGGGAGAUCGGAAUUCCUGGUGUAGCGGUGAAAUGCGCAGAUAUCAGGAGGAACACCGGUGGCGAAGGCGGGAUCCUGGACCGGUAUUGACGCUGAGGCGCGAAAGCCAGGGGAGCAAACGGG
Molecule: ribosomal RNA, 253 nt
Filed under: uncultured bacterium
Lineage: Bacteria
Description: partial 16S ribosomal RNA
Rfam family: Bacterial small subunit ribosomal RNA
Source: RNAcentral